AGAGUUUGAUCCUGGCUCAGGACGAACGCUGGCGGCGUGCCUAACACAUGCAAGUCGAACGGAGAAUUUCAAGAAGCUUGCUUUGAGAAAUUUUUAGUGGCGGACGGGUGAGUAACGCGUGGGUAACCUACCCAUAAACCCGGGACAACCCUUGGAAACGAGGGCUAAUACCGGAUAAACUUAUAGCUUGGCAUCAAGGAAUAAGAAAAGGUGGCCUCUGAAAAUGCUACCGAUUAUGGAUGGACCCGCGUCUGAUUAGCUAGUUGGUGGGGUAAAGGCCUACCAAGGCGACGAUCAGUAGCCGGCCUGAGAGGGUGAACGGCCACACUGGGACUGAGACACGGCCCAGACUCCUACGGGAGGCAGCAGUGGGGAAUCUUCCGCAAUGGACGAAAGUCUGACGGAGCAACGCCGCGUGUAUGAUGAAGGUCUUCGGAUUGUAAAGUACUGUCUUUGGGGAAGAAUGACUGAUUUGAGAAUAUUGAGUCAGUAUGACGGUACCCAAGGAGGAAGCCCCGGCUAACUACGUGCCAGCAGCCGCGGUAAUACGUAGGGGGCAAGCGUUGUCCGGAAUCACUGGGCGUAAAGGGUGCGUAGGUGGCUCAUCAAGCCAGAGGUGAAAGGCAUUGGCUCAACCAAUGUAAGCCUUUGGAACUGACGAGCUUGAGUGCAGGAGAGGUAAGUGGAAUUCCUAGUGUAGAGGUGAAAUUCGUAGAUAUUAGGAGGAACACCAGUGGCGAAGGCGACUUACUGGACUGUAACUGACACUGAGGCACGAAAGCGUGGGGAGCGAACAGGAUUAGAUACCCUGGUAGUCC
This 818-nucleotide ribosomal RNA is filed under the name uncultured bacterium. Its description in RNAcentral is "bacterial SSU rRNA". It matches the Rfam family "Bacterial small subunit ribosomal RNA", at positions 8 to 796 of the family's 1533-position model. The record is from RNAcentral.